UUAAAAAUUACUUAAAAAAGGAAAAACUGUAUUUUCCGUGAGCAAAGUACUACGUCAGCUAGACGAUAAUUUCAAUUAGUCGUCGCAGUUAUGUUUAAGAAAUUCGUGUUUUCAACGCACAUCCUGUAUUUAUGUACACCAGUUGAACAAAUGAAGGCAUCAAAAGGGAGUUUCAAAGCAUGGGUUGAGAAGAAUGUCCCUAAGCUUCAACCAGACUACAACCCCAAUCAUGGCUAUGAGCCGUAUUGGCCUGGAGGUCACUGGCUUUAUUUGGACAAAGAACUUGGCCCUUGGUGAGACCACAACCAAAACCCCCUUCUUUGCGGAGAAGAAUGCAACUAUUUAUAUACACGGGUUGGCAAGGUAUGUGCUAGAACGGUGGAUAACAAAGAGUACUAGCAAUGUGUGUCGAUAUUCGGUCUUUGUCUUGGUUGGUGGAACGAUCAAUUCUGUCGAGGAUUCUAUACCUUUGAUACCUACUACAAAUUUUUAGAUGCACAAUGCAGGACUGAAUACAGCAAACGUUCGUAUUUCACUUAGAUAACCUUUUGUUAAUCUCUCUGAUUUAGCAAAUUGUAGCCUUUUCAACCAAACUAGUGGCGAGAAAUCAAUCAACAAUCUUACUAAUGGUAGUCAUAGUAUUAUCUCAGAUGAAUUAACGAAUGACACUUUGUAAAAAUGACUAAAUUAGAGUUUCCUGGCUUAUUCAACAGUUAAAGUUCAGCUUUCAGUGAGAUAAUAUAGAAACUUGCGCAUCGUAUGAAUAUGUAUUGUAUAAUAUUAUAAUUUUAAUCAGUGGUUAUUACAUAAAUGUUAUAUUUUGCUCGUAUUUUUACAACUUUAAGGAUGGAUUUUAGUACAUGAAGGGGAAUGUUCUCACGACAUCGAUACCUACUUUAAGCCUCUACAUACCUCACCAGGACCGCUGUAUAGGUUGAGUUCGUAUUUUACAAAAUUAGUUAGCAACUAUCGGAGUGCCGGCUUAGAGAAUCCACUUCGACAGGGUGUAUCUUUACCCAACCAAGCGAUCUCCGGGGACGUGAAUUUACCACUUAUGCUGGAUGUUGGUAUACAGCCGAAUCCUGGAAUUUUCCCAUCUAACAAUCGCGGUACUCUUAGGCCCCCCCUCCCUCAUAAGGUCAAGCAAUAUAUUCACAAUUUUGUAAAAGAUAUGUUUUUAGGUAAUAGCAGUGAAAGUAUAAA
Pieris brassicae (large cabbage white) is the source of this 1203-nucleotide long non-coding RNA. RefSeq lists it as uncharacterized. The record is from RefSeq and is a predicted model, not a curated record. Lineage: Eukaryota; Metazoa; Arthropoda; Insecta; Lepidoptera; Pieridae. The transcript is spliced from 4 exons.